This 801-nucleotide ribosomal RNA is filed under the name uncultured bacterium. RNAcentral describes it as "bacterial SSU rRNA". It matches the Rfam family "Bacterial small subunit ribosomal RNA", at positions 8 to 811 of the family's 1533-position model. The record is from RNAcentral.
AGAGUUUGAUCCUGGCUCAGGAUGAAUUCUGGCGGCGUGCUUAACACAUGCAAGUCGAGCGAAGCGGCUGAAUUGAUUCUUCGGAUGAUUUUCAGUUGACUGAGCGGCGGACGGGUGAGUAACGCGUGGGUGACCUGCCCCAUACCGGGGGAUAACAGCUGGAAACGGCUGCUAAUACCGCAUAAGCGCACAGAGCUGCAUGGCUCGGUGUGAAAAACUCCGGUGGUAUGGGAUGGGCCCGCGUCUGAUUAGGCAGUUGGCGGGGUAACGGCCCACCAAACCGACGAUCAGUAGCCGGCCUGAGAGGGCGACCGGCCACAUUGGGACUGAGACACGGCCCAAACUCCUACGGGAGGCAGCAGUGGGGAAUAUUGCACAAUGGGGGAAACCCUGAUGCAGCGACGCCGCGUGAGCGAAGAAGUAUUUCGGUAUGUAAAGCUCUAUCAGCAGGGAAGAUAAUGACGGUACCUGACUAAGAAGCCCCGGCUAACUACGUGCCAGCAGCCGCGGUAAUACGUAGGGGGCAAGCGUUAUCCGGAUUUACUGGGUGUAAAGGGAGCGUAGACGGCAAGGCAAGUCUGAUGUGAAAACCCAGGGCUUAACCCUGGGACUGCAUUGGAAACUGUCUGGCUCGAGUGCCGGAGAGGUAAGCGGAAUUCCUAGUGUAGCGGUGAAAUGCGUAGAUAUUAGGAAGAACACCAGUGGCGAAGGCGGCUUACUGGACGGUAACUGACGUUGAGGCUCGAAAGCGUGGGGAGCAAACAGGAUUAGAUACCCUGGUAGUCCACGCCGUAAACGAUG